RNAcentral lists this small RNA (256 nucleotides) under Notechis scutatus (mainland tiger snake). RNAcentral's name for it is "7SK RNA (ENSNSUG00000012249.1)". The record is from RNAcentral. Lineage: Eukaryota; Metazoa; Chordata; Lepidosauria; Squamata; Elapidae.
GAAUGUGAGGGGCAGCAAUAUUGGUUCCCCCAAGGAUUGUCAAGUUGUUUCUGCCCUCCCUCCCUUUCCAUGUGCCUUCCUGCUGCAGAUGGGUGCUGGGUGGAAGAAGAUGUCCAUCCUAGAUUGGAGUGGGCAAUUCUUUGGUCAAGCUGCCCUCUCCUUCUAGAACCUCUAGGCAAUCUCAAGACCCAUUUGUAAGCUCCUACGUGAUUAACCUGAAUGACAAAAAGGAUAUUUUAUCAAACAUGUUUCUUUA